UUUAUGGAGAGUUUGAUCCUGGCUCAGGAUGAACGCUGGCGGCGUGCCUAAUACAUGCAAGUCGAGCGAACGGACGAGAAGCUUGCUUCUCUGAUGUUAGCGGCGGACGGGUGAGUAACACGUGGAUAACCUACCUAUAAGACUGGGAUAACUUCGGGAAACCGGAGCUAAUACCGGAUAAUAUUUUGAACCGCAUG
RNAcentral lists this ribosomal RNA (197 nucleotides) under Klebsiella pneumoniae. RNAcentral describes it as "partial 16S ribosomal RNA". It matches the Rfam family "Bacterial small subunit ribosomal RNA", at positions 1 to 192 of the family's 1533-position model. Lineage: Bacteria; Pseudomonadati; Pseudomonadota; Gammaproteobacteria; Enterobacterales; Enterobacteriaceae. RNAcentral also lists the same sequence under 1 other name. The record is from RNAcentral.